Molecule: unclassified non-coding RNA, 1107 nt
Filed under: Daphnia magna
Lineage: Eukaryota; Metazoa; Arthropoda; Branchiopoda; Diplostraca; Daphniidae
Description: dNA polymerase theta-like, transcript variant X3
Source: RNAcentral
UCUAUGAAAGCUUUUGAUGGCUGUCUGCUGUCUGCUUAACUGGGCAUUGAUGGCAGGUCAAUUUUUAAAAAGUUUGUACUUCAAAUAUAGGAACUAUCUUGCUUUCGGCGGAUUAUUCUCAGUUGGAACUUCGAAUAUUGGCGCAUUUGAGCGAAGACGCAGGUUUUGUUCUGUUCUUAGCCAACCCGAUGACGAUGUUUUCCGCGGCAUUGUAUCGGUUUGGAAAAAGAAAAAGCAAGAAGAAGUCAGAGACGAUGAAAGGCAAAAAGCGAAACAAAUCUGCUACGGGAUUGUUUACGGCAUGGGAUGUAAAAGUUUAGCCGAACAGUUGGAAGUCGGGGAAGAAGAGGCUCAACUCUUUGUUAACACUUUCCACGCAAGCUAUCCUAGUAAGUUAAUCGUGUGUGUUGUCAAUUCUGGAUAUAGCCUAAUCUUUAUAAUCUGAUUACAUCAAUGCCUUUUAGGUCAACCGAUGUGGAAAAAAAUUCAGGAGGAAAAUGAAUUGAGCUGCUGACAUUGGCCUAUUCUGGAAUACAUCAGUUUGCAUCAUAAUCAGAAAGGUAAUAUUGCCUCUUUUAAUUCCUUAUCCAGUUGUAGCUAUGACUUGAGUCUGCGUAGAUAAAUUUCUUAGCUUUAUUUGAAAUUUGAGGCUGUGAUAACUUUUUGAAAACGACAAGAUAUUUUCUAAACUAAAGCUUCACUAGAUCUACCCAAAAGCAAGCAAUCUUUAUUUCAACAUAUAGAUAGCAAUUACUUGUUACACCAAAAGUACCCCGCCAGGGUGUGUUCUGUUAUUUCCCGCCCGAAUUAUUUUGGGUAGCUUUUUUCUCAGAAUUUAUUAAUCACAUCGUCAUGGUUUCAACUGCGCUAGGUUGGUUUACGUUAACGAUCACAUCAUCGCCGUGUCUGAUCCUUUUCGAUUGCACUAUAUGAUGCAGCGAGUGUGGGUGUAUGUCGAAAAUAUAAAUUACGCAGAAACCUCCAUAGAAGGGAAACUUGUGUGAUUAGCAUCACACACACACACACACACACACACACAAGAGAAUCCAAACACAUCCUUUGUUAUUCAGAUUAUUUUCCCUUUUUUUUUUUUUUUUUAUGUGUAAG